GAUGAACGCUGGCGGCGUGCCUAAUACAUGCAAGUCGAGCGAACGGACGAGAAGCUUGCUUCUCUGAUGUUAGCGGCGGACGGGUGAGUAACACGUGGAUAACCUACCUAUAAGACUGGGAUAACUUCGGGAAACCGUAGCUAAUACCGGAUAAUAUUUUGAACCGCAUGGUUCAAAAGUGAAAGACGGUCUUGCUGUCACUUAUAGAUGGAUCCGCGCUGCAUUAUCUAGUUGGUAAGGUAACGGCUUACCAAGGCAACGAUGCAUAGCCGACCUGAGAGGGUGAUCGGCCACACUGGAACUGAGACACGGUCCAGACUCCUACGGGAGGCAGCAGUAGGGAAUCUUCCGCAAUGGGCGAAAGCCUGACGGAGCAACGCCGCGUGAGUGAUGAAGGUCUUCGGAUCGUAAAACUCUGUUAUUAGGGAAGAACAUAUGUGUAAGUAACUGUGCACAUCUUGACGGUACCUAAUCAGAAAGCUACGGCUAACUACGUG
RNAcentral lists this ribosomal RNA (497 nucleotides) under uncultured bacterium. RNAcentral describes it as "partial 16S ribosomal RNA". It matches the Rfam family "Bacterial small subunit ribosomal RNA", at positions 28 to 507 of the family's 1533-position model. The record is from RNAcentral.